CGCCCCCAGGGCAGGGCCGGCCCCGCUCCUUCUUCUCCAUAAAUCCCUCCCAACACUCCAAGGAAACAAGAGUUCAUCUUCCUCCAUAGUAUUCUGAGUACCCCAGGUGCUUUGCUUCUUUAGGUGAAAUUUGUUGUUUCUCUUAAUUUUCUUUGGAGGUUUGGCUCUCUGAUUCAUUUGUAUGCCAUCGUUGCACACUGGCCAUAAAAAAAUCCUGCCAAGUGUUAUGAGGGAAAACAAAGCACAGCUGCAGACUGGGACAGACAAUAAGGAAGGUGAACCAAGCAGGUGUGGGCUCCCACAAAUCGGGGCAGCUCUGGGGUGUGAGAUCACCAGCCUUUGUGUGCCUUUGGAGAUGGGCAGGAAGAAUUUGUAAUCCCAGGACUGAGGAACAUCAGGAACUAAAGAGGCAUUUCGCAAUGUGAGGUACUCCAUGAGGAAGGGGAUGUAAAAAAUCAGGCAUCUGCAGGGAACAAACAAGAGCUUGUGGCUCUAUGAUGACCCAGGGACUUGCAGUGAGGACAGAGGAUUGCCAGAAGUGUCAGGUAUUAGGACUCACAUCUUCAGAAGUUCUGAUCUGUGCAGCAAGGGAGUGAGUCCUCAGAAAUCUGAAAAGGAUAAUGGUGACAAGUGCUAUAUGCAGAUUUCCUACUGCAACCAGUAGCAGCUUGCAUGCACAAAGAUUUCAGAAGUGGGCAUCCUUUCCUUUUCCUUCCCAAGUUUUAUUAAUUUGACCAAAGACUAUGUGGCUUCAGCCUUAACAGAAAACAAUAAAAUUCUGGGAUGAUUUAGGCUGGAACAACCUCUGAGUGACUUGUCUAAUCCAAAUCAUUCCAUUUCAAUCCAAAUUGAUUUCAUUAUCCCUAAGUCAUUUAUUUAAAUAAAUGGAGUCAGGAGA
Molecule: long non-coding RNA, 898 nt
Organism: Neopelma chrysocephalum (saffron-crested tyrant-manakin)
Lineage: Eukaryota; Metazoa; Chordata; Aves; Passeriformes; Pipridae
Exons: 2
Source: RefSeq, a predicted model, not a curated record